Molecule: ribosomal RNA, 434 nt
Filed under: uncultured bacterium
Lineage: Bacteria
Description: partial 16S ribosomal RNA
Rfam family: Bacterial small subunit ribosomal RNA
Source: RNAcentral
AGCGAACGCUGGCGGCAGGCCUAACACAUGCAAGUCGAACGAACCUUUCGGGGUUAGUGGCGGACGGGUGAGUAACACGUGGGAACGUGCCUUUAGGUUCGGAAUAACUCAGGGAAACUUGUGCUAAUACCGAAUGUGCCCUUCGGGGGAAAGAUUUAUCGCCUUUAGAGCGGCCCGCGUCUGAUUAGCUAGUUGGUUGAGGUAAUGGCUCACCAAGGCGACGAUCAGUAGCUGGUCUGAGAGGAUGACCAGCCACAUUGGGACUGAGACACGGCCCAAACUCCUACGGGAGGCAGCAGUGGGGAAUCUUGCGCAAUGGGCGAAAGCCUGACGCAGCCAUGCCGCGUGAAUGAUGAAUGUCUUAGGAUUGUAAAAUUCUUUCACCGGGGACGAUAAUGACGGUACCCGGAGAAGAAGCCCCGGCUAACUUCGUG